This 303-nucleotide ribosomal RNA is filed under the name uncultured bacterium. RNAcentral describes it as "partial 16S ribosomal RNA". It matches the Rfam family "Bacterial small subunit ribosomal RNA", at positions 507 to 807 of the family's 1533-position model. The record is from RNAcentral.
AGCAGUAGCCGCGGUAAUACAGAGGGUGCGAGCGUUAAUCGGAUUUACUGGGCGUAAAGCGUGCGUAGGCGGCUUUUUAAGUCGGAUGUGAAAUCCCUGAGCUUAACUUAGGAAUUGCAUUCGAUACUGGGAAGCUAGAGUAUGGGAGAGGAUGGUAGAAUUCCAGGUGUAGCGGUGAAAUGCGUAGAGAUCUGGAGGAAUACCGAUGGCGAAGGCAGCCAUCUGGCCUAAUACUGACGCUGAGGUACGAAAGCAUGGGGAGCAAACAGGAUUAGAGACCCCUGUAGUCCCUGUCUCUUAUAC